AGGCUUGCCUCGGCAGCAUGGGCACUAAAACUGGAAAGAUGCAGAGAAGAUUAGCACGGCCCCUGCGCAAGGAUGAUCCGCAAAUUUGUGAAGCAUUCCAUAAUUUA
Jaculus jaculus (lesser Egyptian jerboa) is the source of this 107-nucleotide small nuclear RNA. Lineage: Eukaryota; Metazoa; Chordata; Mammalia; Rodentia; Dipodidae. The record is from Ensembl.